GUAUUAAUUGCGUGUUAUCGCAAGAGACAUUCUACACUGUAUCGAGUUUGUGUGAAAACGUGAGCCCCCGAAAGGGGACCCACGCGGUGGUGCACAUAGGGGUGAGAUGGAUGUUUGAGAACGCUCGGGCGUGCACGACGAAAAAGUCAGCGACAGCCCUCGCGCCUCGGUUUUACGAUAAUGAUCCUUCCGCAGGUUCACCUACGGAAA
Molecule: unclassified non-coding RNA, 210 nt
Filed under: uncultured fungus
Lineage: Eukaryota; Fungi
Description: sequence contains ITS1
Source: RNAcentral